AAAAAGGAAACAUUUGGACACAGACACAGACAUACACAGUAGAAAGAUUAUGUGAAGACGCCUCUGGGUAGAAGAAGACCACACGAAGAUGGAAGCAGAGAUUCAAGUUAUGUUACCACAAGCCAAGGAAUGCCUGAGACCACUGGAAGCUAGGAAGAGACAAGAAGAGAUAUUUCCCUUGAUGCCUGAGAGGGAGCAUGGCCCUGCUGACACCUGAAUCUGGGACUUCCAGCCACCAGAACAGUGGGACAAUAAAUCUCUGUGGUUGUAAGCCAUCCAGUUUGUGGUACUUCAUUACAGAAGCCCUAGGAAACUAACGGAGAGCCCUUGCUGGUAUCUGCAGCUGUGACUGCUGGAAAAUGUCAGAGGGAGCCAGAACUAAACUAAGGUCUCUGCUUCAGUAAACUUAUCCAACUCAAGCCUCCAACUGCCAUUUAUAUCAUAUGACUUCCAAAGGUAUUUAUCUUUACUCAUGACCUCUCCCUGAGCUCCAGAAUCAAGUCUCCAACUGAUUCGUGAAUAGCACCUCUUGAAUAUCUAAUGGCAUCCCAAAAUUAGCAUGACCAAAUCAAGACUUUGAAUUCAAUACCCAGCCAAACUUCCCCUACUCUACUCUAUAGAAGAAAAUGACAUCACCAUCUACUAAGUUAUUCAACACCCAGGAGACUUCUUCCUUCUCCUCUACUACCAUAUGCAAUCUAUCUGUGUGUCCUGUGAGUUCUACCUCCAAAAUAUGUGCUAGGUCAGUUCCCUGAGAUACUCACUCUGAGAGGGAGAUUUAUAAUAAAAGAAUUUAGCAAAAAAUGCCACUGGGGGGCCAGCCCCAUGGCCUAGUGGUUAAGUUCAGUGCACUCUGCUUUGGUGGCCAGGGUUCAGUACCCAGGCAUGGACCUGCACCAGUUGGUAGCAGCCAUGAUGUGGUGGUGUCCCAUAUACAAAAUAGAGGAAGAUUGGCACAGAUAUUAUCUCAGGAUGUCUGAUGGGGUGAAGAAAAUGGGCCUAUGAAAGGAGCAGAAAGCAAGGACCUUCCUCAGUUGCCCCUUCCAUCCUUGGCCAUUUGUGUUGAGAGACGGACAGUAAGUCUCCUUAGGAAUUUUCAGCCAAUCCAAACUCUGGGACAGUUGUGAAGGAAGUUGUCAUGGUGGGCUUGCUGCAGCUGGACCCCAUUGUGUCUGCUCCAGAACUUCACAGGAUCUUCAUCUGAGCCUAGAAGGCUUGGUGUAAAGCUCUGGCAGCCUCAGCUUAGCUUCACCACUGAUGGCCACCAUAUCGAGGCAAAGAACUAUUUUUUCACAUCUUUCUCAAAUCUUGUUGGGUGGCUCAUAGAAUGAAG
This 1333-nucleotide long non-coding RNA is filed under the name Equus caballus (horse). Its description in RNAcentral is "lncRNA (ENSECAG00000044727.1)". The record is from RNAcentral. Lineage: Eukaryota; Metazoa; Chordata; Mammalia; Perissodactyla; Equidae.